This 96-nucleotide Y RNA is filed under the name Microcebus murinus (gray mouse lemur). RNAcentral describes it as "Y RNA (ENSMICG00000022721.3)". It matches the Rfam family "Y RNA". From Rfam's summary of the family: Y RNAs are components of the Ro ribonucleoprotein particle (Ro RNP), in association with Ro60 and La proteins. The Y RNAs and Ro60 and La proteins are well conserved, but the function of the Ro RNP is not known. Lineage: Eukaryota; Metazoa; Chordata; Mammalia; Primates; Cheirogaleidae. The record is from Rfam by way of RNAcentral.
GGCUGGUCUGAUGGUAGCGGGUUAUCAGAUUUUAAUUAGUGUCAGUGUCACUAAAGCUGGUAUACAACUCCCCAUACUAAAUUUGACUGGCUUUAA